GGAAAGGAGCGACUUAUGCCUGCAGAUUCCCAAGAUUAACUGGCGUUCUGUAGGUCGGCACAAAGUCGUGGCUUUGCCAUCUGACGGAGGACGCGCAGCGGUCGUCUCUGGCUGGGUAGACUGAGACCUGAACGCUGAGGGACUUAGGACCAGCAGUGCCGUCCAGGCCUGGCUGCAGACGGAAACUACUUCAAGAUAAGCUCCACCAAAAAUAGAGAGGAAAUCAAGAAGAUUAAGACGCAGGAUCCAGCGCAACGCUCCAGCACAGGAGAGACCAAAAGAACGUUUGACAAUCCACUGACUUCCUAGAAAACAGAAGAGUGGGCUGGGCAUGGUGGCUCACGCCUGUAAUCCCAGCACUCUGGGAGGCUGAGGUGGGUGGAUUACCUGAGAUCAGGAAUUCGGGACCAGCCUGGAGAAACCCCGUCUCUAAAAAUACAAAAAUUAGCCGAACGUGAUGGCGCACGCCUUGUAGUCCCAGCUACUCAAGAGACUGAGGCAGGAGAAUGGCGUGAACCCGGGAAGCAGAGGUUGUAGUCAGCCAAGAUCGCGCCACUGCACUCCAGCGUGGGAGACAGAGCGAGAGUCCGUCUCAAAAAAAAGAAAAAAAAAAAAAAAGAAACAAAGUUUAGCUUUCCCAUGCCCCCACCCCCCGCACCGUUGCCCGCCGCCCCCCCCCCCCCCCCCCGCCCCAUUCAUUCUUUCAAGCUGGGCCCAGGGCAACAUUAAAAAACAAACCUGUAAUCAGUAUUUAUAUGAUAUGGCAUUUUGUGUAUUCAUCUCAGCUGAGUCAGUUGUAUAUCAUGGUUAAUUACCAUUAUUUUACAACUUUGGAAAGCCCCUCAUCUUCCCGCUCCCGGAUGGACCACGAGUUCUCCAGGCCCCUGUAUGGCUAUGGACCAAGACUUCUUUCAUGAUGACCUUGGGAACUGCUUUCGUCUCUCCUACUUUGGGUUCCCUAUUUCCCCGAGUCAAUGCCAUCUUUUUCUGGGUUUACUCCUUCAGUUGUAGCGAGUUAAAGACUGAAUGGAGAUGAGGGAGGUGGAAAGUAAGUACAGCCUCUUCUUCCGAGACAUCUGCUUAGGAAGAGAGGGAAGGAGCCUCAUGAGGAUGUAUUUAGAAGUAUGGAGGCAGAGACCAGCAGCAGGCCAGCUAAAAAGUUAAAAGUAGUUCCCGCGGGGGAGGUGUGCAGCUGGGGACUGUUGUUUCUCAAUUAUGGGGCUGUGGUGCCAAUAAACCUCGCAUGAGUAGCAACUCAGCAGGCCCAGGAUACGUGUUGGAAGGGGAAUGAGGGAAGGGGCAAUUCUCCAGGCAGCAGGGAGAGCGUGAGCAGAAGUCACUGCCAACACUCCCACCACAGGA
RNAcentral lists this long non-coding RNA (1362 nucleotides) under Homo sapiens (human). RNAcentral's name for it is "HSALNT0158313". The record is from RNAcentral. Lineage: Eukaryota; Metazoa; Chordata; Mammalia; Primates; Hominidae.